GAAAGAUCGCGCUUAGGCACGGGAACAGUGGCAGGAUUGGGUAUUUGCAGCAAUGAAUUUUCGAGAUCCUAAUGCUAGCGAAACCACGAAUCCACGGAGCCUAGACACUUGGAGGACGAUCAACAUAGGGAAAUAAUUAAGAAGCGCGAUUGGAAGGAAGAGGAAACAUCAUUUUCGGAAAUAAAUCGCUAGAUUUAUAAAAAAGUAUUGUUCACGGGUGUACAAUUGGACGAAUCAAGGAUCGUAAUAAGAAUGUUAAAUUAAAUCAUAGAAAUACGUCUUUAUUCACUGUAUCACAGGUUUUCCGAUUACUCUGUGCUGUUAAAUAGGAAUCUCGCUACUGUCACUGUCACAUAGGGAUCUCGCUACUGUCACUGUCACAUAGGGAUCUCGCUGAGUGUACGAUAAUUUUACGCCCCUGUGUCGAUCAGACGAACUAAAGUCUCUGGGAUCACUGGUUCGCCUUCCUGUUAUCUAAGUUCCGUGUUGUUGACAUUCAAGGAUACAGUUAAAGGAUUAUUUUUGGUUGGAAAAAGAAAUGUUAUACGAUUAUAUUGUAAAAAGAUAAAUAACAAUCGUUUUUGUUAAUUUAUAUAUAUAUAUAAUUUGAAAAAAACUUGUUGUGUAAAUUAUUGCAUGUGAUGACUUUAUGCAAAUUAAUUAUAAAUGGAUGAUCUUGUAAAAUUUAAUAUUAAAGAGGUUAAGUGUGAUUUGUUACCGGCUAUAAAUGAAUGCACUCAACGUGGUUUAUUACAUACUAGUAAAUGGCUGGCAGAAUUGAAUUAUUCAUUAAAAGACGUGAAAAUAGAUUUACACGAUGUUACUACAGAUAUCAGUGCGAUAGAAUCCAGUGAAGAAGAUGACACAUAUAUCUUAGCUAAAACUUAUUUUGAUUUAAAAGAAUACGACAGAGCAGCUUAUUUUACUGAAAAAUGUACAACACCAAAAGCAAGAUUUUUGUAUUUGUAUUCUCGUUAUUUGUCAGGAGAGAAAAAGAAAAUAGAUGACAUGACGGAUAUACCACCAGAUCCUAUGAAAAAUGAUUCGUUAAAAUUACUCUGUGCCGAUUUAAGGAAAGAUCAUUUGGCUGGUAAAUUAGAUGGCUUUUGUUUAUAUUUAUUUGGAGUUACUUUGAAAAAACUUCAGCUUAACAAAGAGGCAACCGAAGUUUUGAUUGAAUCCACUCACAAGCAACCAAUGCACUGGGGUACUUGGUUAGAAUUAGCUGCAUUAAUCACUGAUAGAGAAAAAUUGGAAAGUUUACGUCUACCAAAUCAUUGGAUAAAACAUUUCUUUAUGGCACACAUGUAUUUGGAGUUGCAACUUAUCGACGAGGGUUUAGCCAUGUAUUGUGAAUUACAGUCUAUGGGUUUUGAAAAAAAUUCCUAUGUACUUGCUCAAACUGCAAUUGCUGUUCACUAUAGGAGAGACGUUGACAAUGCUAUAAAAACAUUCAAGCAUAUAAUUAAAGAGGAUCCGUAUUGUCUUGACAAUAUGGAUACAUAUUCAAAUUUACUUUAUGUUAAAGAAAUGAAAGUAGAAUUAGCAUAUUUAGCGCAUAGAGCAACGGAAAUAGAUAAAUAUCGAUUGGAAACAUGUUGCAUAGUAGGCAAUUAUUAUAGUUUAAGAGCAGAUCAUCAGAAAGCAGUGUUGUAUUUUCACAGAGCAUUGAAACUUAAUCCACAGUAUUUAUCCGCUUGGACGUUACUUGGUCAUGAGUUUAUGGAAAUGAAAAAUACUAAUGGUGCAAUUCAUAGUUAUCGUCAAGCCAUAGAAGUUAAUAGAAGGGAUUAUAGAGCGUGGUAUGGUUUGGGUCAGACUUAUGAAAUUUUGAAGAUGCCUUCUUACGGGUUGUACUAUUACAAACAGGCACAACUUUUGAGACCUCACGAUAGUCGUAUGGUUCUUGCAUUGGGUGAAGCAUACGAAAAACAAGAUAAAAUUCAAGAUGCACUCAAGUGUUAUUUUAAAGCAUGCAACGUAGGGGACAUUGAAGGAGUAGCUUUAAUAAAAUUAGCUAAUCUUUAUGAAAAGUUGGGUGAACACGAUCAUGCAGCAGCAGCCUAUACAGAUUUUGUAAUGGAUGAAUUUAGAAAUGCUGAUAGAACUGAACUGAGUCAUGCUUACAAGUAUCUUACGCAGUAUCAUUUGAAACGUGAACAAUUAGAUAGAGCAAAUCAUUAUGCACAAAAAUGUCUUCAAUUUGAUGAAACCAAAGAGGAAGCUAAAGGACUCUUAAGAACAAUUGCACAGAAACGAGCAAAAGUUGAAGAGACUUCAAUGGUGGUAGAAGAUAUGAAUGAAACUGAUCCGGUUAUAGAGCAAAAUGCAAGGACAGAUGCCACACCAGGAAAUCAAUUGUCACCCAUGAAUUUGUCCUUCACUCCUACACCAUAGUAAAAAAAAAAACAAACAAAAAGCAUGGACACACGCAAGCAUGCAUCGCACGCGAGCAACCAGUAUGCAGUUGUUAACAAGCACACAGCAUGAGAGGCAACCAGCCAAAUAUGCUUAAAGUGGAACAGCUUCUUGAACAAUAUCGCAACGAGCUUCGAGAGUCUUUG
Molecule: unclassified non-coding RNA, 2564 nt
Filed under: Polistes dominula (European paper wasp)
Lineage: Eukaryota; Metazoa; Arthropoda; Insecta; Hymenoptera; Vespidae
Description: cell division cycle protein 23 homolog, transcript variant X3
Source: RNAcentral